GAGACACCCUUAUGGGGCAAGACUUGUUCUGUGGGCUUUGGUGCUCAUUGAGUCUGCCCCUUGAGUGUGUCACU
RNAcentral lists this microRNA precursor (74 nucleotides) under Myotis brandtii (Brandt's bat). RNAcentral's name for it is "mir-9229 microRNA precursor family". It matches the Rfam family "mir-9229 microRNA precursor family". Lineage: Eukaryota; Metazoa; Chordata; Mammalia; Chiroptera; Vespertilionidae. The record is from Rfam by way of RNAcentral.